GCAGAACCCAGAAGUGAACAGCAGGCG
RNAcentral lists this non-coding RNA (27 nucleotides) under Homo sapiens (human). The record is from RNAcentral. Lineage: Eukaryota; Metazoa; Chordata; Mammalia; Primates; Hominidae. RNAcentral also lists the same sequence under 1 other name.